GUUGCUUUCCACAUCCACAGUAGUUUCACCACUUCUUGCAAAGUGAACUUUGCAUCCCAAUGACUGGAUGGCUCUCUUUAUGGCUGCAUUUUCCUUGCUGGCCCUCUUAGCCAAGGCUGUUGCAGAGCUACUGAUCUUCUUCUCAUUCUGUAAUUCUGCAGAUAAUGACUCCAUGGCUUUUGUGAUUUCUGUAGCCUUUCUUUCUGCCACUUCUUUUGCCUUCUGCAGUUCUGAAAAUUUUAUGGACACGUUCCUACAUUGAGCUUCAAGUUCCCCAGCUUGCGCUUCUGAGGGACAAGCCCAUCGAAGAUGGAAUUGUGGCCAAAGAGUUGGGGCUAAGGCUGCUGCUGGGGGCAACAGUGGACCACCAUGCUCAUGUGGAUCAUAAAAAAUGUUAUAGUGUGAAUGAGAUCUCCCUUCUAAAGAACGCAAAUCAGCCAAAUAAGCCCACAUGCAUCCACAAGCUUCAGAUACACCAACUUGCUGCCUCUCUUUUUCACUGUUGCAGAAGAAGUUACCGAAACGACAUGAAAUUACAGUGUCCAAUAAAUCCACCAAGAAAGCCGAGGAAAACUCAAAAGCAAAUGGAUACAUUCGCAGCAACUGUGAGACACAAUCAACCCACUGCAAAAAUAUGGGAGAAUAGUUGUUCUGUGCAUGAGAAGAACUAGGAGUUUGAGAUGUGAAUGAUCCUGAUGACUGGCGCAUAGGUGAAGGUGGAAAACUCCCAACAGAAGACUGACGGGAUAAUUCAAGAGGCAUAUUGCCAGUUCCAGAUACAGUUGGCAUUCCCACACGAUCUGCAAAUGGAUGUCCAAAUGCUAGCCAAUCCUUUUCAAUAAGUGCCUGAAACCCAGUGAAUGUUCGGUAGUAUGGGUCAAGCAACAAAUUAGCGAGUGAUACCAGCUGAGUAGUUCUAUCCCAUCCAUCACUGCAAUGUACAAGCACUGAUGCCGACUCCAAAGCAACACGUGCAGCAAUCCAAACUGAACCAGCCAAAACACUUUGAACAUGUAUCAG
Molecule: unclassified non-coding RNA, 1020 nt
Filed under: Hevea brasiliensis (rubber tree)
Lineage: Eukaryota; Viridiplantae; Streptophyta; Magnoliopsida; Malpighiales; Euphorbiaceae
Source: RNAcentral